Molecule: long non-coding RNA, 1092 nt
Organism: Oryzias melastigma (Indian medaka)
Lineage: Eukaryota; Metazoa; Chordata; Actinopteri; Beloniformes; Adrianichthyidae
Exons: 2
Source: RefSeq, a predicted model, not a curated record
GACUAAAAGGUCAACUAAAUGCCCUCUUAGCUGUCUUAAAACAUUAAAGCUGAAUCAGGUAAAGGAUGGGUCAAAGUUUGAGUGUCGGUUUUCAACGUUCAAUGGAAUGUCAGAGUUUUUUUAAACUGAUAUCAUUUAUAUGGUAGUAAUUAUCAAUCACGACUUCUUAAAUCUUAUUAGCUGGUAAUAGGAGUUGAUUGAUAGUGGAAAAUGCCGAACUAGGAGCAAAGGUAAUGGCUCACGUUUGUUUGAAAAGCUGUAGACUUCAAGCUGCAUAGUCCAUUUUCAAGGUCUUAUGGCCUGAUCAAUAUCUCAGCCUGGGUUUCAUCCCCAGAGCCCCUAAUGGCAGAAACCUCUGGAGCCUCAGUAAUGCUAUCAGUGGGCGGUGGGGGAGGACUUAAGACAGCAUGCUGACACUCUCAUCUGCUAUAAAUCCUAGAGCUGGAAAGAAAAAAUAACUUCUUACAGACUCUUCAGAGGAAAAAAAAAAAGGGGGACCCAUCACUAGAACAGCAAUAACUCACUGCCUGCUGCCCCGUUUAUGAACAUUUUUAGGGAGAAGCCUCUGAAUAAUGAGCUCCGUGUAAUACAGGCUGAGCUCCCUGCUGAAGACCCUUCUGGACAGAGGAUACCACAGAGCGCACACAGUGGCAAUCCACCUCUUCAAGUCUUCGGCCCUGCAGACUGGAUUCACAAAGAGGCACCAAGUAAUGGCUUCCUUAUGGGCUCCUGACGCAAGACUGAUGGGCUGACAGAAGGCAUGGGGGCCACCUUUUGCACGGCUGGAAGGUUUUUACUGGUCGCUCCAUUGACGAAACUGGAGGAAGAGGAGGAGGAGGCAGAAGACGCAGAGGCCGCCUCGGCGACUCCUGCGGGAAGACAAAGAAUGCAAUAAUACUGAAUGCAGAUAAACAUUUAAGACGCAUGGAAGUUAGAAAAUAAUUCAUUGAAUCUAAAGUGUUAAACUUAAUGAUACGAUGGAAUUAAUUAUGUUUGGAAAGAAUUUAAAUUUGGGAAAUUGACAGAUACCAAACUGGUACAGUGUGUCAAAAUGUAAGAUGAUUAUUGAAUAAAAAGUUAAAUUAUCUCUUA